This is a long non-coding RNA of Oreochromis niloticus (Nile tilapia), 4865 nucleotides long. Lineage: Eukaryota; Metazoa; Chordata; Actinopteri; Cichliformes; Cichlidae. The record is from Ensembl.
AUGCUUUUGGUAAAUCAGAUACAGACAGUAGCAACAAAACUGACCCUGGAUGUGUCGGCGAUAACAACCAGCAUGACAACACUACUAGAUUCUACGCCCUAUAACAGGAUACAAUUUCAGGCAUUUUUGGAUGGUGGGUUUUGCAGUUGCACACAUGCAGUAAAGCCUCCUGGGUUCACAGGAGGUCCAAAAUGGAAAAAAAUAUCCAGUGAGCGGGAGUUCAAAGGGGGCAAAAUAUCAUGCUGAUGACAGAUGAAAUUGGACAAUGGCAUUGCUGGAGAAACUGUUGGCUGCAGUUUUUGGAAAAUUACAAUAACAAUAAUAAUCAUAAUAACAAUAAGAAGAAGAAGAAACUUGUCCUGGCAACAUAUGACGAGUGCAGAGUAGCAAUGUUGCAAUAACAGUUGUCCCACAGUGCCACCUGGUGCUGAUCACUGUGGACUUCCUUACUACAGCUACAUGAACCCAAGACAUAUUAUAAGGUUUAAAUGCCUUGAUGCAUUCUCAAUCAUCCAGGAAAGUAAAUCUCCAAAAGUUGAAUCUGUUCAUCUGGACGUAGCGUUUUGUGGGAGAAACGUUUCGUCACUCAUCCAGGUGACUUCUUCAGUCUCAGCUGACUGCAGGUUUCCCCAAACCUUAUAAACAGUACAUUUGCAUAAUGACUGAAACCAGCCCACUGAAGGAACAAUGGGCUGUGAGGUCAGUUCCUUAAUCAUAAUUAUGCAAAUUUCCAUGACCACUGAUCAACAAUCACUGACCAAAACCCACUGAUCAAAGAACACUGAUCAAUGGCCAUGAGUCCCAUUCACAGAGAGUUGGGGAAUGGCUGCAAUCACAGCAUUGUAAGAUGGUGACAGAUGUACCCUUAGGCCCCCUCCUCGAUUCAGAGAUGGUCUUUCCCUUUUCACGUAAAUGGCCUCCUUGACUCAGCAAGCAAGUAAAGUAUUUGUACUUCGUUACUUCCCACCUCUGUACUGAAACAAAAUCUUUUGCAAUGUGAGAGAUGCAGUAAAACUGAAAGGAAAGGUUCAGAGGACGGCAGUGAGACCUGCUGGGAUGCUUUGGAGAAGAAAAAGAAAAAUCUGGGUGUUUGCAGUAACCAUCUGUACAGAGUAUAGUACUUUGGCAUUUUUUGUAAACUAUUUAUUCAUAAUAAUAAAGCGCCUUGAGGCGACUGUUGUUGUGAUUUGGAGCUAUAUAAAUAAAAUUGAAUUGAAUUAAUAAUAAUAAUAACUAUAUAUCUGUAAUUCACUUUUUCUCCCUGGCCCUUGAGCUGCUGUAAUAAAUGAAAUUUCGCUGUGAGAUUAAAUAAAGUCUGUCUAAAUAAACACAAACACCAAAAACUAGAACUUCACUUAAACAGUGCCUCAUAAAUAUGCUGCAUAUGAAAAUAAGCAAAAAUCUGUGAAACAGUGAUAAAAUCAAAUAAACUAUUAAAUAAAAUAAAAUUAUAUCAAACAAAUGUCUUGAUGCAUUCUCAAUCAUCCAGGAAAGUCAAUCUCCAAAAGUUGAAUCUGUUCAUCUGGACGUAGCGUUUUGUGGGAGAAACGUUUCGUCACUCAUCCAAGUGACUUCUUCAGUCUCAGCUGACUGCAGGUUUCCCCAAACCUUAUAAACAGUACAUUUGCAUAAUGACUGAAACCAGCCCACUGAAGGAACAAUGGGCAGCCCAUUGUUCCUUCAGUGGAACAAUUCAGAGCGUGUUAUUUAUUUGUAAUUCCUGGUUUUAUAUCUCUUGGAGAUAUAUCCUUUACAUAUUUAUAAAGGCACCAUGGGGGGCUUAGGGUGAAACAGCAUUUCGGUACACUGUAUACUGUGUAUACUACUGUACUGACAAUAAAGCUCUUGAAUCUUGAACCUAACUGGCAUUUAAAGGGUAAAAGAAUAAAUUUAGAUAAAGUUUUGGUUUUGAUGACAAGGACUGGUGCUAAUUUAAAGAGUCAAGUCGGUCAAAGUAGAAAAAUGUUUUAAUAAAUAUUAAUCUUAUAGCAUUUUGUGAACGCAAACAAAAGGUGGCCAUUUUUGGUAAUGAACAAGCUGAGAGGGAGUUUUAUCUUUUUCGCUCUCCUUGCCCAAAAAUAACAAUACAUAAUAAUCAAUGUUGAUGGUAAUCAAUUACAUGUCCCAGACUCUACUAUUAAUGGAUGAGUGACGAAACGUUUCUCCCACAAAACACUACGUCCAGAUAUAUCAAACAAAUACAUAAAUGAUGAUGUAAACAAACAGAGGUACCUGAAACAAGGUAAAAUCAGCUAUAAUCAUCUGUAGCUAAUUAAUGUAUGCAAAGACAUACUAAGAAAAUAAAUGUAUUAGUAAUGAAUCAUCAUCAUCAUCAUCAUAAUUUUAAAAGUUUAUCGCCCCUGGGCGCUGCAGUGGUGAUGGGAGCCCUGAGCAGGCACUUAGUUCAUGCUUCUGCGUGUUGAGCCAAAAACUGAUCUCUGAUGUUUUUAUGCCUAAUGUGUUUAUUUAUGUUGGUAAAUAGACUGUAGUGGGCAUGAUUUAUGAAUCGGUUAUUUAUAAAAUAAAUAAACAACCUGUUUUGCAGUUAUCUUUAUGAUGCUGCAUUAUUGUAGUUGCGUUAUAAUAAAUCUGGUUCUUUUUGGUUUAUAGAACUGUAAAGUUUCUGCUGCCCGUCUUUUAAUGUCAGUGAAUUUUUUUUUACCAGAUAAAUAAAGGAUAAAGUCAUUGCUACUUCUACUUUGUGGAAGUAGGUUAUUUCUGGCUCAAAAUGACUAAUCAUUACUCUCAUCAUUAGGGAUGGGUACCGGUGUCCGGUGCCAUGAUGGCACCGGUUCUGACAUAAACAGUAGUAACCAGACCGAAAAGCAGCGCACAUUUCGGUGCUUUAUUUCGGUGUUUUUUUUUUCCUGAGCCAAUUCUAGCCAAUCAUUUUACGUUUCCGAGGAUAGUAGGCGGGUCCAGGUACGUACGUUCUUUUAGAGCAGAGCUACAGAUUAAAAAUGCCCAAGGCGAAGCGGUCAAAAGUCUGGCUGUACUUCACAGCAAAAGAUGCAAACUCAGCUGCCUGCAACAAGUGCUUUUAGGUGAUACUGUGCAAAGGAGGUAACACCUCGAAUCCGCACCUGGCGACGCAUAGCGUGUUUUUUUAAAGCCGAGAAAUGCGCCGUGUUUGAUAGCGGGUGUGGUGCCUGUUAUCGGACCCGGAGUUGGCAACAUCACCCAAAAACCCGAAGAGUAGCGUCCUGGCCCCUAGCCCUGCCAGUGUAGCAGAAAUGAUGACAGAUGAUGAUGGCAGCAGCAGCCGUUCUCCUCUGCGUGAGUAUCUUAAUGUUCAUGUGUAAUUUACGUUGAGUACGCUAACCACGUUAUUACAUUAAUGCAUGUAAGGUGAACUAGCAAACACCGUAGUAGUUACAUGCGGCUGUCUUCUUGUUUGAUGGCAGAUGCUCCCUUCACCCUGGCCAAAAAGGCUAAAAUAACCAAAGAAAAAGUGGGAAACAGUUAAACAUGAGAAGUUUUUGGACAAAGUUGGUGUUUUUUCCAUUGUUUAAGCACUGCUUCCAGCCAAGAGUGAUACCAUAUAUGCCCUAUAGCUGCAGAAAAGGCUAACAUUGUUAUCUUUUUACAAAAAAAACAGCUGAACAUGAGAGGUUUUUGGACAAAGUUUGUGUUCUCCAUUCUUUAAGCACCGGUUUGAGCACCGUUUAAGCACCGGCACCGUUUCAAAAGUACCGGUUUGGCACCGGUAUCGGAUAAAACCUAAACGAUACCCAUCCCUACUCAUCAUACAUGAGCAAUGUUUUUGACAGAUAAUAGGCCAGCUAGUCAUUUAUGGUUUCAUUUCCAUCAAUCAUUGUUUGGCAAAUACUGGAAAUCAGUUUUUGGCACAACACCGGCUCUGGUCGUACAAACUCAGACCACAAACAUGCUAUCAUGUGUAUGUGGCGGAGGUGUGGUCCCGGGCGCGGCUGCAGGGGAGGAGUGAUGCAGUGAGCUCAACGGGGCGGUGCUGGAAAGGCAGGUGAGAACAGCUGAUGGCGUUUGGACUGAUGAUGGUUUCCUUCCCCUUUUUAGUGAGACGGGAGAGGAGCGGAGAGGAAGCUGGGAUCAGCUGAGACUGGAGCUGUCCAGACUACAGACUGUCACUACAAACGAAAAUAAAAAUAAACUUGGCUUCUGGCAGUAAAGAACUGCGUGUGUGAAGUGCAUUUCACAGUGCAAAACUGGGUGAUUUUACUUUCAACUUUAGAAUCAAGGCCUGAAUGUCACCACUCAGUUUUGUAACUGUGACUAUGUCUUAAUCCUCUAACCUGUCAGUAAAGCUUCUUACAGAUAAUUGUAAAUGUUUGUUUGUGUUAAAGGGUUUAAAAUCUUCUUCGUUUUUCUCUGUUGAGAAUCCAGCACAGGUUGGAUUCCGUUCCGUUCCAACCUCAAAUUUCCGUGAGAGCAAUGUCUUUUAUUUCUUGUGGUAACUCUCCACAGUUAACUUUCAUACAGGUGAAUUUAAUUACAGAUAUUUACAAAGGGUUUGGCCCUUCAUAUCUUUACACCCUUGAGUUGUUCAUGCCAACUGUUAAAGCACGGCUCUGCCAGGUAGAUCUUCCUGAGUCGUGAUGUUUUGACAACACAUAAAUACUUCACCAGUACAAAAAAAAUGAUAGAGGUCAAAACAAAGACUAAAAGCUGAUUAAUGAAUCAAUGAAUGAAUCCAUCAAUCCUCUGAUAGCCCCUCUAGUUUCCUGUUGUAUAAAACUAUGUAGAAAGUACAUGAAUCCUGCUUCAAACCCAGCAGCUACCACAGUAACACGAGUUCUAAUGAUCUAAAUACUUCAUCUAAUUUUUAAACAGUUUACUUAGGACACCUGAAUUUUACUCAAGUGAGAUCUUUAAUGUUUGAGUUUUAC